This 996-nucleotide ribosomal RNA is filed under the name Ergasilus megacheir. RNAcentral describes it as "SSU rRNA". It matches the Rfam family "Eukaryotic small subunit ribosomal RNA", at positions 694 to 1714 of the family's 1831-position model. Lineage: Eukaryota; Metazoa; Arthropoda; Copepoda; Poecilostomatoida; Ergasilidae. RNAcentral also lists the same sequence under 1 other name. The record is from RNAcentral.
GUUUUUGACGGAGGCUCCAGGUUGCCCUUUACUGUGAGUGUCUGGGGCGCCGUCAGGUUUACUUUGAAAAAAUUAGAGUGCUCAAAGCAGGCUUUACACGCUUGAAUAUUCGUGCAUGGAAUAAUGGAAUAGGAAGUCGUUCCUAUUUUGUUGGUUUUCGGGAAUUGACUUAAUGAUUAAUAGGGACAGCCGGGGGCAUUAGUAUUCAGACGACAGAGGUGAAAUUCUUGGACCGUCUGAAGACUAACUACUGCGAAAGCAUUUGCCAAGAGUGUUUUCAUUAAUCAAGAACGAAAGUUAGAGGUUCGAAGGCGAUCAGAUACCGCCCUAGUUCUAACCAUAAACGAUGCCAGCUAGCGAUCCGCGGGUGUUACUUUAAGGCCCCGCGGGAAGCUUCCGGGAAACCAAAGCUUGUGGGUUCCGGGGGAAGUAUGGUUGCAAAGCUGAAACUUAAAGGAAUUGACGGAAGGGCACCACCAGGAGUGGAGCCUGCGGCUUAAUUUGACUCAACACGGGAAAUCUCACCAGGCCCGGACACUGGAAGGAUUGACAGAUUGAGAGCUCUUUCUCGAUUCAGUGGGUGGUGGUGCAUGGCCGUUCUUAGUUGGUGGAGUGAUUUGUCUGGUUAAUUCCGAUAACGAACGAGACUCUGUCCUGCUAAAUAGUCGUGGUGUCUCUUUUGCGCCUCGAUGUCUUCUUAGAGGGACUGGCGGCUUUUAGCCGCACGAGAUUGAGCAAUAACAGGUCUGUGAUGCCCUUAGAUGUUCUGGGCUGCACACGCGCUACACUGAAGGGAUCAGCGUGUUUUCCCUUCCCGAGAGGGACGGGUAAACCGCUGAAACCCCUUCGUGGUAGGGAUCGGAGCUUGCAAUUAUUCUCCGUGAACCAGGAAUUCCCAGUAAGCGCAAGUCAUAAGCUUGCGUUGAUUACGUCCCUGCCCUUUGUACACACCGCCCGUCGCUACUACCGAUUGAACGUUUUAGUGAGGUAUUUGGA